Magallana angulata is the source of this 472-nucleotide long non-coding RNA. RefSeq lists it as uncharacterized. NCBI's taxonomy places the organism in Eukaryota, Metazoa, Mollusca, Bivalvia, Ostreida, Ostreidae. The record is from RefSeq and is a predicted model, not a curated record. The transcript has 5 exons.
UUAAAAAUCAAACUAUCUUUCAUUUUGUCGCUCAAAUUCGAUGACAUAAUAUUUAGUUAAAACUUAAGCCAACUCUCAAAGUUUCAACAGAGGCUAUUGUAUUGAAGGUUUGAAAAAGGAAGUUUAGAUCUUCAUGGUCGCAUAAUCUAAGAGAGAACUAGAAGAAAGAAAGAGAGACACAGUAAACGUUACAGAUAUUCAACAUAAAUCUCCUGUCACCUUGAGACAUACAUUCUGGAGGCUGGUGGUGACGAAUUAGGAAUCGGAUCGUUUUAAAUUUUAAGAUAAUCAAGAAGAAGUUGGUCACGUUGUCUCUCAAAUACAGUCACCAAUGGACCCAAGAAUUCAGGAAUAUUUAGAGGGGCUUGUACCUAAAGAUGAACGUGAUAUACAAGUCUUGGGUGAAUCGCAGAAUGACGUGGAUAAAUUGGAGAACUAUUUAAAAAUGUAUAUAAUGCAAGGUAACCAAGGU